RNAcentral lists this ribosomal RNA (450 nucleotides) under uncultured bacterium. RNAcentral describes it as "partial 16S ribosomal RNA". It matches the Rfam family "Bacterial small subunit ribosomal RNA", at positions 354 to 796 of the family's 1533-position model. The record is from RNAcentral.
GUGGGGAAUUUUGGACAAUGGGCGCAAGCCUGAUCCAGCCAUUCCGCGUGCAGGAUGAAGGCCUUCGGGUUGUAAACUGCUUUUGUACGGAACGAAACGGUCCGGGUUAAUACCCUGGGCUAAUGACGGUACCGUAAGAAUAAGCACCGGCUAACUACGUGCCAGCAGCCGCGGUAAUACGUAGGGUGCAAGCGUUAAUCGGAAUUACUGGGCGUAAAGCGUGCGCAGGCGGUUUUGUAAGACAGGCGUGAAAUCCCCGGGCUCAACCUGGGAAUUGCGCUUGUGACUGCAAGGCUGGAGUGCGACAGAGGGGGAUGGAAUUCCGCGUGUAGCAGUGAAAUGCGUAGAUAUGCGGAGGAACACCGAUGGCGAAGGCAAUCCCCUGGGCCUGCACUGACGCUCAUGCACGAAAGCGUGGGGAGCAAACAGGAUUAGAUACCCUGGUAGUCC